UACAGAGGGGGCAAGCGUUGUUCGGAAUUACUGGGCGUAAAGGGCGCGUAGGCGGCCUGUUAAGUCGAACGUGAAAUCCCCGGGCUCAACCCGGGAACUGCGUCCGAUACUGGCAGGCUUGAAUCCGGGAGAGGGAUGCGGAAUUCCAGGUGUAGCGGUGAAAUGCGUAGAUAUCUGGAGGAACACCGGUGGCGAAAGCGGCAUCCUGGACCGGCAUUGACGCUGAGGCGCGAAAGCGUGGGGAGCAAACAGG
This 253-nucleotide ribosomal RNA is filed under the name uncultured bacterium. RNAcentral describes it as "partial 16S ribosomal RNA". It matches the Rfam family "Bacterial small subunit ribosomal RNA", at positions 524 to 776 of the family's 1533-position model. The record is from RNAcentral.